UAGCCGGGCUGCUCACGGCGCUGCAACGGCGCACCUCUCUCGAUACCAGUCAGGUCGACGAUGUGGUGCUUGGUUGCGUGACGCCCGUCGGCGAUCAAGGCUCCGACAUUGCCAAAGGCCGCGACCCAGGUGGCGGAUUGGGACGUCAGCGUGGCGGGUUUGCAGAUCAACCGCUUCUGCGCCUCGGGGUUGGAGGCGGUGAACCUCGGCGCAAUGAAAGUGCGUUCCGGCUUCGAAGACCUGGUGGUGGUCGGCGGCGUCGAGUCCAUGUCCCGCGUGCCGAUGGGCAGCGAUGGUGGCGCUUGGGCACACGACCCGGAAACCAGUUUUCACAGCCAUUUCGCCCCUCAAGGCGUGGGCGCUGACCUGAUCGCCACGCUGGAAGGCUUCAGCCGUCAGGACGUCGAUGCCUAUGCGCUGCACUCUCAGCAAAAGGCUGCGCGGGCGAGGGCCGACGGUUCGUUCAACAAAUCGUUGGUGCCGGUGCAGGACCAGAACGGCAAUCAUCCUGCUCGAUCACGAUGAAUUCAUUCGCGCCGGAUCGACCCUGGAAGGCUUGGGCCAGCUCAAGCCUAGCUUCGAGAUGAUCGGGCAAAUGGGCUUCGAUGCCACGGCACUUCGGGUCUACAGCCAUGUCGAGCGGAUCGACCACGUUCACACGGCGGGUAACAGUUCCGGGAUCGUCGAUGGCGCCGCGCUGAUGCUGAUCGGCUCCGAGGCCAAGGGCCGCGCGCUGGGUUUGCAGCCGCGGGCGCGAAUCGUCGCCACCGCCGUCACCAGCACCGACCCGACCAUCAUGCUCACCGGCCCCGCGCCGGCCACCCGCAAGGCUCUGGCCAAGGCCGGGUUGCGGGUCGAAGACAUCGACCUGUUCGAGGUCAACGAAGCGUUUGCCUCGGUGGUGCUGAAAUUCAUCAAGGACAUGGCAAUCGAUCCGGACAAGGUCAACGUCAACGGCGGCUCCAUCGCCAUGGGCCACCCGCUGGGCGCCACCGGCUGCGCGAUCCUCGGCACGCUGCUCGAUGAACUGGAAACCCGGCGCCUGCGCUAUGGCCUCGCGACGCUGUGUGUCGGCGGCGGCAUGGGCAUCGCCACCAUCAUCGAACGCCUCUGAGCCCGACCGACUUCAAGGAAACCCUUUCAUGACCGAAGCCAUCCGUUACGAAAAAGGUCAGGACCAGAUCGUCGUCCUGACCAUCGACAUGCCGGGCCAGAGCGCCAACACCAUGAACGCGGACUACCGCGAAGCCAUGGCCGCGUGUGUCGCCAGACUGGUUGCCGAAAAAGACACUAUCGCCGGCGUGAUCAUCACCUCGGCCAAGAAAACCUUCUUCGCCGGCGGCGACCUCAACGAACUGAUCAAGGUCGGCAAGCCCGAAGCCAAAGCCUUUUACGACAUGGUGCUGACACUCAAAGGGCAACUGCGCACCCUUGAGACCCUCGGUAAACCGGUGGUCGCCGCGAUCAACGGCGCCGCGUUGGGUGGCGGUUGGGAAAUCUGCCUGGCGUGCCAUCACCGGGUUGCGCUGGACGAUUCUUCGGUGCAACUCGGUCUGCCGGAAGUCACCCUCGGCCUGUUUGCCGGGCGGUGGCGGGGUGGUGCGCAUGGUGCGAAAUGCUCGGUAUUGAAAAAGCCUUGCCCUAUCUGCUCGAAGGCAAGAAGGUCCGGCCGCAGCAGGCGCUACGGGCAGGUUUGAUUGAUGAGUUGGCGGCGGAUCGUGACGAACUGCUGGCCAAGGCGCGCGCCUGGAUUAUUGCCCAUCCUGCGGCUGUGCAGCGUUGGGACGUGAAGGGUUACCAGAUUCCCGGUGGCACGCCGUCGAACCCGAAAGUCGCGCAAAUGCUGGCCAUCGCGCCGUCGAUCCUGCGCAGCAAAACCCAGGGCUGCCUGCCUGCGCCAGAGAAAAUCCUCUGCGCGGCGGUAGAGGGUGCUCAGGUGGAUUUCGACACCGCGCACUUGAUCGAAACUCGUUACUUCACCGAAUUGACCACCGGCCAGGUGUCGAAAAACCUGAUUGGCACGUUCUGGUUCCAGCUCAACGAAAUCAAUGCCGGUGGCUCGCGGCCCCAAGGCUUUGCACCCUACGUGACGCGUCGCGUGGGUGUGCUGGGCGCCGGCAUGAUGGGCGCCGGAAUCGCCUUUGUCAGCGCAUCGGCCGGCAUCGAGGUGGUGCUCAAGGACAUCAAUCUUGCGGCGGCACAGAAGGGCAAGGCUCAUUCGGCAGCGCUGCUGGACAAGAAGGUUGCGCGUGGCCAAUUGAAUGCCGAUCAACGCGAUGCCACGCUGGCGCGAAUUCACCCCACUGAAAGCGAUGCCGACCUGGCCGGCUGUGAUCUGAUCAUUGAAGCGGUGUUUGAAGAUCGCGAUUUGAAAGCCAGCGUCUCUUCGGCGGCGCAAAAGAUCGUUGGCCCGGAGGCGGUGAUUGCAUCCAACACGUCGACCUUGCCCAUCAGCGGCCUCGCGACUGCGGUGCCGGAUCAGAGCAAGUUCAUCGGCCUGCAUUUCUUCAGCCCCGUGGAGAAAAUGCCCUUGGUAGAAAUCAUCAAAGGCACCCACACCAGCGACGAAACCCUGGCGCGCGGGUUCUAUUUCGUACAGCAAAUCAAGAAAACGCCGAUUGUGGUCAACGACAGCCGUGGUUUCUUUACCUCGCGGGUGUUCGGCACCUUCACCAACGAAGGCAUCGCCAUGCUGGGCGAAGGCGUCAGCGCGCCGAUGAUCGAGACCGAAGCGCGCAAGGCCGGCAUGCCGAUCGGACCUCUGGCGAUCUCCGA
This 2775-nucleotide unclassified non-coding RNA is filed under the name uncultured fungus. Its description in RNAcentral is "sequence contains 18S rRNA gene, ITS1, 5.8S rRNA gene, ITS2, 28S rRNA gene". Lineage: Eukaryota; Fungi. The record is from RNAcentral.